CAUGUUUAGAAACACCUAAAGCAGCUCUCUAGACAACAGUUCAAAGCGGUGCUGGCCCUGGAUCUGACUAAUGAGGUCAGGAAUAAGAGUAUUUAUGGGGAUUAUUUGCCUCCAGGAGGGAAAGCUCAAAAUGCCAUCAACUGCAAAAACGCAGCCAUGCAAAAAACAAAUUUUCGUCAUUUAGUGCAGUGGUAAAUUCUUAUUAAGUCGAUCAGACAGAUUCCACUUCAGUAAUCAGCCACUGGAAGAGAGUUCAGGAUGAGUCAAUGCUAUUUCAGCCUGCAGGCGAAGUUUAUGGACCUAGCAGACAGGGGCAAUGAUGUAUGAUUAAAAUCAGGGCCACUUUCAGUUCUCGUGGUGCUGUCACGCACAAAAGGCAUGAGAACAAGCAGCCUUUCUGGAGCAGCCGUCCUGAGAGCACCAGAGCUCUAAGGACACCAAGGACACGGUAGCACUCAUCAACCCCACCUUCCUGUUACCAGUACGUACCAGCACGUGUCCAGGAGACGCGGAUUUUCCACACGAAAAGAUGUCUUUGAUACUAACACUAACCAUCCCCGAGGUCUCCAGGAGCUCCGCUCUCACUGGAGACGCAGCCCUGGUGCCCCGGAGCCGAUCGCAACUGCCGUGGUUAGGUGCAACGGCAGCAACAUACCCCCUCACCCCAAGAAUUAUGGCGGUGGGCGCCACGCAGGGCCCGUGGCGAGUAACGAGACCCGUCUGCUUUAACAAGGCAGGAAGAACAAUUAAUUUUCAGGAUUUGAUCCAUUAAACCCAUGCCCGCUAAAACACGCACAGUGUUGGGUUCUUCGGGAUUUUGCCCUCCCAGGCUGGAGCGAUCGUGCCUCUAUGUCUGGAGCAGCGCCGGCCUCCUUUUUUCUUUCUUUUCUUUUAAAACAAGCAGGAAUUGAAACCAACGCUCGUCGCGGCUGUGGAUAUCCGUCGGAGAGGAGGAAAACCAGCGCCGUAACUUCGCGCACCCACGUUCCCGACGCCGCUCCUCUCCAGCGCCCUCCGCUUUCCGGCCAUGUGCCCCCGCCCUCCGGAGCCCCGACGGCGAACCGGGACUGCGGGCUCCUCCCGCCGGGCGCCCACCGCCGGCCCGCCCGGCCCCCCUGCAGCUUGGGCAGGCCCCCGGGGGCUGCAUCUCCGUGCGGAGAAAAGGGAGCGACACUGAGCCGCUGGGCGAAUGGCUCCCGGCACGGUACCUGUGCCUCGGACCCUGCUGUCAGCCUGGGAGUCCCGUAAGAGCUGCCGAAAACGGAGCCCCCCGCCGGCAGCCCCUUCUGCGUCAGUCGGGCACCCGAACGCCUCUCCAGGAGGGCUGUUCGCAGGCAGGAAUACGAGUUACGCGAGAAAAAAAAGACUGUUUAAGGGAAACUCUCUUCGUGCAUAAGUUAAGAGUAGCCGUCCAGGAUCGAUGACUUGUUUGUCUGUUUGCUUUGGCUUUUUUUAGUUUUGUUGUUACUGCUUUUAACGGUCCUGCAACAGCUAGUGCUGCUCGCCUGCUCAUUAGGUGGAGCAGCUGAUACCGAAGCAGGUGCAAGUCUAGACUGAAUUCCGGACCGAUCCUCUUUCCCCAGGUCCUGCGGCUUCACGUUGCUUCAUUUCUCCACUUGUCUUUCUUCUAGGCUCUCGGUGGUGAUGCUCAGUGGAAAGAAUUGCGUGAGAAGAGACGCCUGCAAGAACAGCCGCGCUCCCCGCCGCGCAACUGGCGCUCUUCUCGGCGUGCGGACACGCGUCCCUCGGCGGCUCCGCUGGGAGAGGAGGGGGCAGCGCUUCACUAACCGAGGAAGGCUGCAGCUGCCGCCAGUUCGGCCCGCAUCGGGCUCAGAGAGGCCGGCGCUUCGCCGAAGGGUCUGGCCUAACCAGAGCCGCGCCAGGGAGGCGGUGGCGGCAGCGGCAGCGCGCCGGGGGCGCGGAGCUCACCCCCGUCCAAACGACUUCGCGGCGGUUCUUGCCCGCGGAGGCUCCCCGGCCCCCUCACCGCGUCCCAAAGCCGGCGGCAGCGAGGGGCUCGGAGCGGCCUCGCACGGGGCCUGUCAGCGUGCGCCGCGUGGGGCCCGCGGGGCCGCGCGUGGGGCGGCUCGAGGGCGGAGACGAAAGGGGGGAAAAAAAAAAAAAAAAAAAGCCUGAAGGGAGGAAGUUGCUGCCGCCCUGCAUCAGCUCGUUCGGCUGCAGACAACGUGUCGUUCGGCCACGGCAGUAUCCCACGGACCUGGAGGGUCCGGGACAUGGGGGAGCCCCCCGCUUUGGGGCCGCCGGCCCCUCUUGUUCCCCGAGCUCCUCCCCCAGGAGGGGGGAGGUGCUCCCCGGCGCCCACCAGCGCCCCGGGCUGAAGGGCAGCGGGGCAGCUUGCCCUCGAGGGCUCCCUCGGCGCCCCGGGGAAGCGGGUGACUGCAGCAAGCCUGUCGCCCGUAACCUGUGGGAGAAACGAGGUCGGUGCAGGAGAGAUCCAGCAAGUAGCAGCGUAUGAAAUAGCGUCCGCGCUGCUUCUCCUGUAGCAGCGGAGAGCACAGCCUUUCCCAGCAGCAGCCGCUACCUGCCGCAGGUGCUCCACUGAGAGGUGUUUUCAUCGAUGCGCUUUAAGAGACCGGGUUUUUAAAAACCGAGCGAGACCAGACUGGCGAGGGAGAGCCUCGGUCCCCGACGUGCCCACAAAUCCGGCGUGAUUUCGCAUCAGGCCCCGCACAAGGCAGGAGUGUGAACACCCUCGGCCUCGCCGCCCUGCGGGGAGCUCAGCUUCCGAGGCAGGGACAGACCCGCCGGGUCCCGGCCGGUGCCGUGGCCGCCGGUCGAUGCACGUCGGUGGCGGCUGCAGGAGAUCCGCGGCCGGGGAGGGGUUCAGCACCGCCUGUGUGACUUGGCAGCAUAAAUCCCACUGACUCCGGAGACGAGCCGAGUUGCUAACUUAGGUGGCUGAUUUUGAAAUCCCACUCUCCUGCGUUGCUCGCCGGGCUGGGAAUCAUCAGCUGGCCGGGGCCAACCAGCUGAAGACGCACCUGGGCAGUUUUACUCCGUCGAGUAUUUCCACCGAUGCCAAGCAAACGUUAGCAGGAUCGGUCCCAGCAGCAAUAAUAAUUGCCGAGGUGGGAGUGAAAGGUGUAGCACGCAACUCCAGACACAGGGGAAAAUCUGCCUAUGCUUUGCCCGCCGUGACAGUUCAUUAAACCGCUUUAAAAUAUGUUCUCUUUUUGUAAGUGGAUGUGUGCAGAGACGAAGAGCGUGGGGGUGUGGCAGCGGCAGGGCGCUUUUAAGGCGGUGGCUUUCAACCAGAAAGGAAAGGAGCUAAUCCUUAAAUCGGUCAGUUGUUUGAGAAGAAAUUACAUACAUCUUGGAUACGUAAUUACUGAAAAUGUCAAACACACAAUAUACAACACAGGUGGAAGAACCGACUCAUUGUUCAAGACCUGCCUUUUCUCUGAGCUCAACCCUUAUUUAAAGUUUGCAUUCAAAAAUAAUCGAUUUCUGUGUGACACACACAGAGAGAACAAUUCCGAGGCGCCUGGUUUACUAUAGCUUUGUGACUGCACAAUAUUUAAGGUCCGGAAUGAUGUCUUGUGAAAGGUAAGGACGAGGGGAUAUCAUCUGUAACAGUCAAACGUCAACUUCUUUAGCAUGUUUAAUUAGGAUUCUUGGCAACCUUAAUACUUCACUCUAUACCAAAGGCAACCUUCCCUCCCUGUCUUUGUGAAGGUGUUCGAUUCAAGUGGGAGGGCUCAUACAAGCAAAAACAAUGGUCGCGAUCGAAUCCGAUUAUUCCAAAUCACCGUCACUAUUCGGGGUAUAUUUUUCGUGCAAACCAGAAGAGAGUCAAAAAAGGAAAGCGGAGCACCAAACCCGACCCCAAAAAUACAGCAGCCCUGCUUGUUUUGAACUCCCUUCACAAAGCCUCUACUACAAUCUCUUUUGCCUUUCUCAGAUCCAAAAUGGUGGGAUAUUUCAUUUUCAGUGUAUUUGAUCUCAUUGAGAGAAGCUGCGAUGUCCCUCUGUAACCCCGGUAGUCUAGCAACACGAAACAAGCCUAA
RNA transcript from Aquila chrysaetos chrysaetos, 4028 nucleotides. RefSeq lists it as uncharacterized. The transcript has 2 exons. The record is from RefSeq and is a predicted model, not a curated record. Lineage: Eukaryota; Metazoa; Chordata; Aves; Accipitriformes; Accipitridae.